Molecule: ribosomal RNA, 924 nt
Filed under: Triticum aestivum (bread wheat)
Lineage: Eukaryota; Viridiplantae; Streptophyta; Magnoliopsida; Poales; Poaceae
Description: partial small subunit ribosomal RNA
Source: RNAcentral
AUGUUAGUCUUAAAGAUCAAGAGGCUGGUGGAGUGGGAGGACAGCGAGCCACGCCGCUUUGUUUACGAGGAAGCAUGGAGACGGGAAGAGUCGUAUGAGCCCACAAUGGUGGCUGCAUGGAAAAAGAAGAAGGGAGCUCUUACACUUGAGGACCUCAAUUCCUCGUUAUAUGACAUGCAGGGCCAUCUAACCGAUUGGAAACAAAAAAAGUUUGGGGAUAUAAAGCGUAAACCGAAGAAGGUGAGGAAGGAGUUUGAGAGGGAGAAGGCGAACUCACUGUACCGCGGCUCGUCCAGAAGGGAGAAGGAGCUGGCAAGGCAGUUGAAUGAUCUUUUGCUGAAAGAGGAAAUCAUGGCGAGGGCGAGGUCGAGAGCUGACUGGCUUAAGGCAGGCGACCGAAAUACUGGGUUCUUCCAUGCUCAAGCAUCAAGGAGGAAGCAUCAAAAUAAAAUCCUUGUGCUCGAGAAAUCGGAUGGAACGAUCGUUGAUAGCAGGGAGGAGGUGAGAGCUGAGGUACAAAAUUUUUACACACAACUAUACACAGCUCAAGAUGAGGUUGUUAUGGAUGAAGUGUUGCACCAUGUACCAAGCAUGGUGACUAAUGAGAUGAAUGACCGGCUGAACAGACCCUUUGAUGCAGAUGAAGUAGAGAAAGCACUGUUCGCUAUGGCGCCGGCGAAGGCGCUGGGAGCAGACGGAUUCCAUGCGGGAUUCUAUCAGCACCACUGGUCACUAAUAAAGGAGGAUGUAACCCGAUCUAUUUUAAAAAAUUUAAACGGCGGGCACAUGCCUGAAGUUAUUAACAAAACUGUAAUAGUGCUCAUCCCAAAGGUUAAAAAUCCGAGGAAUAUUACACAGUAUAGACCAAUUUCCCUCUGUAAUGUUAUUUACAAAUCUGUUCCAAAGUCUUGGCUAACAGGUUGA